GACGAACGCUGGCGGCGUGCUUAACACAUGCAAGUCGAACGGUAAGGCCCUUUCGGGGGUACACGAGUGGCGAACGGGUGAGUAACACGUGAGUAACCUGCCCACAACUUUGGGAUAACGCUAUUAAACUGGUGCUAAUACUUGAUAUGUGCUCCUGCUGCCUGGUGGGGGUUGGAAAGCUCCGGGGGUUGGGGAUGGACUCGCGGCCUAUCAGCCUGUUGGUGGGGUAGUGGCCUACCAAGGCGGCGACGGGUAGCCGGCCUGAGAGGGUGACCGGCCAAAAUGGGACUGAGAUACGGCCCAGACCCCUACGGGAGGGAAGAGUGGGGAAUAUUGCACAAUGGGCGCAAGCCCGAUGCAGCAACGCCGCGUGCGGGAUGAAGGCCUUCGGGUUGUAAACCGCUUUCCGCAGGGACGAAGCUGUUUGUGACGGUACCUGCAGAAGAAGCACCGGCUAACUACGUG
Molecule: ribosomal RNA, 465 nt
Filed under: uncultured bacterium
Lineage: Bacteria
Description: partial 16S ribosomal RNA
Rfam family: Bacterial small subunit ribosomal RNA
Source: RNAcentral